This 460-nucleotide ribosomal RNA is filed under the name uncultured bacterium. RNAcentral describes it as "partial 16S ribosomal RNA". It matches the Rfam family "Bacterial small subunit ribosomal RNA", at positions 338 to 795 of the family's 1533-position model. The record is from RNAcentral.
CCUACGGGUGGCAGCAGUGAGGAAUAUUGGUCAAUGGACGCUAGCCUGAACCAGCCAAGUAGCGUGCAGGAUGACUGCCCUAUGGGUUGUAAACUUCUUUUAUAUGGGAAUAAAGUCCAGUACGCAUACCGUUUUGCAUGUACCUUAUGAAUAAGGAUCGGCUAACUCCGUGCCAGCAGCCGCGGUAAUACGGCGGAUCCAAGCGUUAUCCGGCUUUAUUGGGUUUAAAGGGUGCGUAGGAGGGUGGUUAAGUUAGUUGUGAAAGUUUGCGGCUCAACUGUAAAAUUGCAGUUGAUACUGGCAUCCUAGAGUACAGUAGAGGUAGGCGGAAUUCGUGGUGUAGCGGUGAAAUGCUUAGAUAUCACGAAGAACUCCGAUUGCGAAGGCAGCCUACUAGACUGUCACUGACGCUGAUGCACGAAAGUGUGGGUAUCAAACAGGAUUAGAUACCCGAGUAGUC